RNAcentral lists this ribosomal RNA (253 nucleotides) under uncultured bacterium. RNAcentral describes it as "partial 16S ribosomal RNA". It matches the Rfam family "Bacterial small subunit ribosomal RNA", at positions 524 to 776 of the family's 1533-position model. The record is from RNAcentral.
UACGUAGGGGGCAAGCGUUGUUCGGAAUUACUGGGCGUAAAGGGCUCGUAGGUGGCCAACUAAGUCAGACGUGAAAUCCCUCGGCUUAACCGGGGAACUGCGUCUGAUACUGGAUGGCUUGAGUUCGGGAGAGGGAUGCGGAAUUCCAGGUGUAGCGGUGAAAUGCGUAGAUAUCUGGAGGAACACCGGUGGCGAAGGCGGCAUCCUGGACCGAUACUGACGCUGAGGAGCGAAAGCCAGGGGAGCAAACGGG